GGAGAUUUGCUAAUAUUCAAGCAGUCUAUCGGUUUUUGACUGUUGGAAUCUAAACAACUGUAAAAAUAUACCGUAAAUCUAUAUAGAUGUCCUUCAAUUGCUCACCAAAAUCCUUUUUGCCCCAGCCGGUAGGUCUCUAGAUGUUAUAGAGAACCCCAAACAACCCAAACUGCUAAUCUUCGAUACCGCUUUAUACUCACGAUCUUGUAUCCACUGACUAUCUUGUUAGAUUAACCCAAUAAAUUUCAUUCACU
This 254-nucleotide long non-coding RNA is filed under the name Physcomitrium patens. Its description in RNAcentral is "long non-coding RNA (PPAT_LNC005263)". Lineage: Eukaryota; Viridiplantae; Streptophyta; Bryopsida; Funariales; Funariaceae. The record is from RNAcentral.